RNAcentral lists this ribosomal RNA (421 nucleotides) under uncultured bacterium. RNAcentral describes it as "bacterial SSU rRNA". It matches the Rfam family "Bacterial small subunit ribosomal RNA", at positions 75 to 507 of the family's 1533-position model. The record is from RNAcentral.
UGUACUCGUACGAAGGUGUCCAAGUGGCGAACGGGUGAGUAACACGUAGGUAACCUGCCCCAAAGAGAGGGACAACCCCGGGAAACUGGGGCUAAUACCUCAUGUGCUCUUCAGGAUUAGAUGCCUGUUGAGGAAAGGAGGCAAUCCGCUUUGGGAGGGGCCUGCGGCCCAUCAGCUAGUUGGUAGGGUAAUGGCCUACCAAGGCGAUGACGGGUAGGGGGCCUGAGAGGGUGGUCCCCCACAAUGGCACUGAAACACGGGCCAUACGUCUACGGACGGCAGCAGUAGGGAAUAUUGCACAAUGGGCGAAAGCCUGAUGCAGCAACGCCGCGUGCGCGAUGAAGGCCUUCGGGUUGUAAAGCGCUUUUCUGGGGGAUGAGGAAGGACGGUACCCCAGGAAUAAGUCUCGGCUAACUACGUG